Molecule: non-coding RNA, 931 nt
Filed under: Cuscomys ashaninka (Ashaninka arboreal chinchilla rat)
Lineage: Eukaryota; Metazoa; Chordata; Mammalia; Rodentia; Abrocomidae
Description: partial 12S ribosomal RNA
Rfam family: Bacterial small subunit ribosomal RNA
Source: RNAcentral
AUUAGUUAUUAGCAAAAUUAUACAUGCAAGAUUCAUCAAUCCAGUGAAAAUGCCCUCCAGCUCAUCAAUUGAUCCAGAGGAGCGGGUAUUAAGCGCACUUAAAUGUUGCUCAUGACACCUUGCUCAGCCACACCCCCACGGGAUACAGCAGUAAUAAAAAUUUAGCAAUAAAUGAAAGUUUGACUAAGUUAUGCUAACAGGCCUUAGGGUUGGUAAAUCUCGUGCCAGCCACCGCGGUCAUACGAUUAACCCUAAUUAAUAAACCCCGGCGUAAAGAGUGUAUAAUGUAAAACCAAAAUAGGAUUAAAAUUUUCCUAGGUCGUAAAAAACAAUUGGUAAAAAGAAAAUCAUUUACGAAAGUACUCCUAGUAUACUUAAAUACACUAAAGCUAAGACUCAAACUGGGAUUAGAUACCCCACUAUGCUUAGCCAUAAACAUAGAUAUUUAAUAACAAAAAUCUCCGCCAGAGAACUACUAGCAACAGCUUAAAACUCAAAGGACUUGGCGGUGCUUCAAACCCAUCUAGAGGAGCCUGUUCUAUAAUCGAUAAACCCCGAUAAACCUCACCAUUUCUUGCUAAUACAGCCUAUAUACCGCCAUCUUCAGCAAACCCUAAUAAGGAAAUAUAAGUAAGCACAACUACCCCUGUAAAAACGUUAGGUCAAGGUGUAGCUAAUGAAAUGGAAAGAAAUGGGCUACAUUUUCUUCUAUCUCAAGAAAAAUAAACACGACUACCUCCAUGAAAACUGGAGCUUAAAGGAGGAUUUAGUAGUAAAUUGAGAAUAGAGAGCUCAAUUGAAUUAGGCCAUGAAGCACGCACACACCGCCCGUCACCCUCCUCAAGUUUAUACUCAAUUUUACCAAAAAAAUUAAUUCAUACUAGAGGAGACAAGUCGUAACAAGGUAAGCAUACUGGAAAGUGUGCUUGGA